This 515-nucleotide ribosomal RNA is filed under the name uncultured bacterium. Its description in RNAcentral is "partial 16S ribosomal RNA". It matches the Rfam family "Bacterial small subunit ribosomal RNA", at positions 28 to 523 of the family's 1533-position model. The record is from RNAcentral.
GAUGAACGCUGGCGGCGUGCCUAAUACAUGCAAGUCGAGCGAAUGGAUUAAGAGCUUGCUCUUAUGAAGUUAGCGGCGGACGGGUGAGUAACACGUGGGUAACCUGCCCAUAAGACUGGGAUAACUCCGGGAAACCGGGGCUGAUACCGGAUAAUAUUUUGAACUGCAUGGUUCAAAAUUGAAAGGCGGCUUCGGCUGUCACUUAUGGAUGGACCCGGGUCGCAUUAGCUAGUUGGUGAGGUAACGGCUCACCAAGGCAACGAUGCGUAGCCAACCUGGGAGGGUGAUCGGGCACACUGGGACUGAGACACGGCCCAGAAUCCUACGAGAGGCAGCAGUAGGGAAUCUUCCGCAAUGGACGAAAGUCUGACGGAGCAACGCCGCGUGAGUGAUGAAGGCUUUCGGGUCGUAAAACUCUGUUGUUAGGGAAGAACAAGUGCUAGUUGAAUAAGCUGGCACCUUGACGGUACCUAACCAGAAAGCCACGGCUAACUACGUGCCAGCCGCCGCCGUAA